UGAUAGCUCAACUAUUAGGCUUCGGGGGAUACUGCCAGACUGGAACCGGGAGAGGUAAGAGGUACUACAGGGGUAGGAGUGAAAUCUUGUAAUCCCUGUGGGACCACCCGUGGCGAAGGCGUCUUACCAGAACGGGUUCGACAGUGAGGGACGAAAGCUGGGGGCACGAACCGGAUUAGAUACCCGGGUAGUCCCAGCCGUAAACGAUGCUCGCUAGGUGUCAGGCAUGGCGCGACCGUGUCUGGUGCCGCAGGGAAGCCGUGAAGCGAGCCACCUGGGAAGUACGGCCGCAAGGCUGAAACUUAAAGGAGUUGGCGGGGGAGCACAACAACGGGUGGAGCCUUGCGGUUUAAUUGGACUCAACGCCGGACAACUCACCGGGGGCGACAGCAAUAUGUAGGCCAAGCUGAAGACUUUGCCUGAAUCGCUGAGGAGUAGUGGUGCAUGG
This 448-nucleotide ribosomal RNA is filed under the name uncultured archaeon. RNAcentral's name for it is "bacterial SSU rRNA". It matches the Rfam family "Archaeal small subunit ribosomal RNA", at positions 552 to 997 of the family's 1478-position model. The record is from RNAcentral.